RNAcentral lists this ribosomal RNA (654 nucleotides) under Megaporus wilsoni. RNAcentral describes it as "partial 16S ribosomal RNA". The stretch from base 1 to 534 matches the Rfam family "Bacterial large subunit ribosomal RNA", at positions 1923 to 2925 of the family's 2925-position model. Lineage: Eukaryota; Metazoa; Arthropoda; Insecta; Coleoptera; Dytiscidae. The record is from RNAcentral.
UUAAAUGGCCGCAGUAAUUUGACUGUGCAAAGGUAGCAUAAUCAUUAGUUUUUUAAUUAGAAGCUAGAAUGAAUGGUUGGACGAGAUAUAAUCUGUCUUUGGAUAAAAAAUAGAAUUUAAUUUUUAAGUUAAAAAGCUUAAAUAAAAAUAAAAGACGAGAAGACCCUAUAGAUUUUUAUAUUAUUAAUUAUAUUAAAUAUUAAGCUUAUUUAAUUUAUUAUAUUGAAUAUUAUUUUAUUGGGGUAAUAAGAAGAUUAAAUUAAUUCUUUGGUUAAUUUUACAAUGAUAUUUGAUUUAUUUGAUCCUUUUUUAGAGAUUAUAAGAUUAAGUUACCUUAGGGAUAACAGCGUAAUUUUUUUGAAGAGUUCAUAUCGAUAAAAAAGUUUGCGACCUCGAUGUUGGAUUAAAAAUUAUUCUAGGAGAAGAAGUUUAGAAUUUUGGUCUGUUCGACCAUUAAAUUUUUACAUGAUCUGAGUUCAGACCGGUGUAAGCCAGGUCGGUUUCUAUCUUUAUUUGAGAAGGAUAUUUUAGUACGAAAGGACCAAAUAUCUAAUAUAUUAAUAUUUAUAAUUUGAAUAGUAUUAUUACUUUGGCAGAUUAGUGUAAUAAAUUUAGAAUUUAUGAAUGUAAGUAUUUUACAAGUAAUAUUGUUUU